AUAACAAUACAGGACUAUUUAGAGGCCCUGUAAUUGUAAUGAGUCCACUUGAAAUCCUUUAACUCUGAUCAAUUGGAGGGCAAGUCUGGUGCAGAGCGGCUGACCCGUGCAUGCUGCAGCGGAAACUCCACUAA
This is a non-coding RNA of Pelobates cultripes (western spadefoot toad), 134 nucleotides long. NCBI's taxonomy places the organism in Eukaryota, Metazoa, Chordata, Amphibia, Anura, Pelobatidae. The record is from the annotation of a GenBank genome assembly.